AAGUCGAGCGAGGGCUCAUUUCCCGCAAGGGAGAUGGGUUCCUAGCGGCGAACGGGUGAGUAACACGUGGGCAACCUUUCCUAUCGCGGGGGAUAACAGCGGGAAACCGCUGCUAAUACCGCAUGUCGUCACCGGUCGCAUGGCCGGUGAAAAAAGCAGCAAUGCACGAUGGGGUGGGCCCGCGGCCUAUCAGCUAGUCGGUGGGGUCACGGCCUACCGAGGCGAUGACGGGUAGCUGGUCUGAGAGGACGACCAGCCACACGGGGACUGAGACACGGCCCCGACUCCUACGGGAGGCAGCAGUGAGGAAUCUUCCGCAAUGGGCGAAAGCCUGACGGAGCGACGCCGCGUGUGGGAUGAAGUCCUUCGGGAUGUAAACCACUGUUGGAGGGGAAGACAACUGACGGUACCCUCCGAGAAAGCCCCGGCUAACUACGUGCCAGCAGCCGCGGUAAUACGUAGGGGGCUAGCGUUAUCCAGAAUUACUGGGCGUAAAGCGCGU
Molecule: ribosomal RNA, 502 nt
Filed under: uncultured bacterium
Lineage: Bacteria
Description: bacterial SSU rRNA
Rfam family: Bacterial small subunit ribosomal RNA
Source: RNAcentral